This 253-nucleotide ribosomal RNA is filed under the name uncultured bacterium. Its description in RNAcentral is "partial 16S ribosomal RNA". It matches the Rfam family "Bacterial small subunit ribosomal RNA", at positions 524 to 776 of the family's 1533-position model. The record is from RNAcentral.
UACGUAGGUGGCAAACGUUGUCCGGAUUCACUGGGCGUAAAGCGCGCGCAGGCGGAUUGGUCAGUCUGGGGUGAAAUCUCUCGGCUCAACUGAGAGAGGUCCCUGGAUACUGCCAGUCUUGAGGGGCUCAGAGGAGAGUGGAAUUCCGCGUGUAGUGGUGGAAUGCGUAGAUAUGACAUAGAACACCAAUUGCGAAGGCAGCUGGCUGCGCGAAUAUUGACACUGAUGCACGAAAGCGUGGGGAUCAAACAGG